Prunus dulcis (almond) is the source of this 1540-nucleotide RNA transcript. RefSeq lists it as uncharacterized. The transcript has 6 exons. Lineage: Eukaryota; Viridiplantae; Streptophyta; Magnoliopsida; Rosales; Rosaceae. The record is from RefSeq and is a predicted model, not a curated record.
AGUAGGGCUACAGUUCUGCAGGAAAAGAGAGCCAGCAAAUAAUGCUACCAACUGGGAGCAUUCUCAUUUGCAAAUGUUUAUGCAAGACUUGGCAAGAUCUAAUUUCGGACCAUGAAUUUGCUAAGCUGCACUUUGCACAAGCAGAGUCCUACCCUUUGGUCCGGCCCUUUAAUCCAACCCGUGUGUCAAGAACCCUUUAUCUGGUCGAGCCUGAAGAUAGCUCUGAUUUUGAUUUCGAGCACAGCAACUGCACGUGUUAUGAUGCCUCUGACUUUCUUUUUAAUGAGUGCAAUGGGCAUCAGUUCCACAUGAAUCUUGCCAAACCAUUGCGCAAUGCUGAGGAAGUACUCAAUACCCACAAUGAUGCCAAUAGGAAAUCUGGAACUAAAAAGAAGCUUUGAUUUAAGGUAUGUCCAGCUGGUCACAAGUAUGAGGUGGUGAAUUCGUGUAACGGAUUGCUUUGCUUGUCUAAACCAUUCAUCAAUGACCCUGUUGUUGUGUGCAACCCAAUAACCGUCCGAAGACUAACCAGUACAAGGUGAUAAGAAUCUCUGAGCAAGGACACUGGAUCCCUUUAAGGCAGCCGAGGUAUACACACUUGGGACAGGCUCAUGGGAAUGUUUAGGUUUUGCUCCCUUCUUAAAAAAUAAAGUAGAAUUCACCACCUAUCUGAAAGGAGCGCUUUAUUGGUUUUGCCAUUGGCUUUCAUCGCCUUAUAUAGAUUCUUUUUACAUGGACACUGGGGAGUUUUCAGUCAGCUCAGCCACCUCCUUUUGAACUGCAAAGAGAGCAUCGGGUUGGCAUGGGAGUUUUAGGAGUGCGGAAUACAAGCUGCUGGGAGGGACUAGAGCUCUGUCUUUGGAGGACGAACAAAUUCUCAGUUGCUUUCCAAAGGAAGUGAAGAAGGAAAUAACCUCAGAGGUGGUGUCGAUGUCGUAUAUAAAGCAACGUGAACUCGAAGAGGCCUGUAGAGUCAAAAAACCAUUUUGUGAAUGGCUUGUGACAAGAUUUCAAGCUGCUGGGAGAGACAGGAGCUCUUUUCUUUUUUGGUGGCAGGAAAUAGGGUCUGGUAUCAACAUCAAAUGGGUCCUUAAUGCAGUGUCAAUUGUCAAUCUACAGGUACAGGGAUGAGAUUUUUCGCCGUGUAGAAAAGAGAAGGUUGCACAUUCUUUGACCGGUAUCAUCCAAAGAUAUAUGAACCCUCCAAGAGUUUGGUACUUGGACUUUUGAAAAGAUUGAGGAAGGAGGAAGAUGAAAACAGAAGACUAAGCAUGGAGGUUAGAGCUUCUUCGAAAGGAAAGUGGAGUUCCCGAGCUUGCCUAGUGAUUCAUUGGAUGAUUGUUAUUGUGUUGUUGGGGAUGUUGCUGGUGGAAGGAGGGGCAAGGGCUGGAUUGAGCAAGAAUGUCAAAUUAGCACUUUGAGUUUUAGGGGUUAUGGUGGUGAUUUGAGUUAAUUUUGUCUCCUAUCAUUCCAAAUUCAUUUUAUUUAUUAGGAAACUUACAUUAACCCGAAUUAUAUUUAUUAAUGGUUUGAGACGUUU